AAAAUAUUUUCUUUUAUUUAUAAGGCAUAGUAUUGUAAUCAUAAAACUGUACAGUUUUUGUAUUUUCUUAUAAAAGUAGUCUUUUAUAAAGUGUGGUUACAAUAGAGAUCUUGUACAGGCUACGUAGUAUAGCUCUAAAAAUGUCUGCAGCAACGACUUUGUCCAAUUAAUGUUUAAAUUGAACGAAUUAAAAGAUAAUUGAUUAUUAGUUUUCCUUCUAAAUGUAAAUGUUAGUUCUCCUUUUUUAAUAAUGAGAACGUUUAUUCUUUCCUUGUUUUGAUUAAGACUUGCUAAUACAUAAUACUAGUUGUUAUAAACUUGUUAAUAAUAGUGUGACACUGGGAUGAAUUUAAAACUGUAUUUUUAAAGCUACACGUAGAGCUUUUCAUAUAUGGUACAGUAUGUCCCGGAUGUAGGCAUCCAAACUUCAUGAGGUUGUAAAUAUAGCCUCGAAAAGUGUGUAAUAUUACUAACAAGAAUUCACCUUUGAACACGGCCUAUCUCACGCCGUUUUCCGCAUAUCUGCCUGUAUGUGAUUUUUGCAAAAAGCUUAAGUUACUCUCAGAAGUUACUUAAGAUGAAGCCAUGAAACUUGGUAUGAAUAUUGAUGGAUCUUGAUAGUUUACAUAUUUCGGAAAAGAUUAAUUUUUGUAUAAAAUCCUUUUUUUUAAGACAAUCAUUUAAAAUUUUUGAAGCUGAAUAUCUAACAAAAAUUAUUAAAAAAAUGUAAAAGACAAAAAUUUAAGGAAUUUAAUAUCUAAAAAUUAUGACAUGAAGAGUUUUUAGAUUAUACAACUAUUAACUGAGAACUUGAAAUUUUUAUCAAAUAAAAAUUUGAUUGUUAUUAAUAAGAAAUUAAACAUUUAAACUAAAAAAAAAAAUUGAAAUCCUUCUUUAAAACGCCCUUAUAAUAGGAUAAAUAAUUGAUAAAUCACAUUUAUUAGAUGUGUAGGUUUAAUGUUGUACAGUACAAUCACGAAUUAUAAGCUGAUUGUAAUAUUGACAGUUUAUUGUUGGGAAACAAACGUUUUUAUUUUUUACUGGUUAGAGGUCAUCACUAAACAAAAACAGAGAGGUUCAGAUGUUUUCUAGGCAAAGUUUUGCUGUUUAAGUUGCUAUUAUUGUAUAUCUUAUUUAAUUUCUUAAUACACCAUAAUACCUAUUUAUACAAAUGAAGAGUUAUCAGAAGUUCAUUUUAUUUAUGGAUUGGCUGAUCGAAACUCGCGAGAGGCAUUGCGACGACUCUAUGCAUAAAGAUGAUUUAACAGAAGAAACCGUAUAUAGAAACAUUCGCAAGUGUUCAUAAGUCUCUGAGGGAGCGUGGAACUUUUACUCAAGUUGAGAAGUUGGCCCGUGCAAUUUCAGAGACUACAUUAAGAGCUCGACAAAUUAUAUUAAAUGCCGUUGAAGAAGUCCCAAGUAAAAGAGUCAGAAGAUUAUCACAGGAUGAAGGAAUAUUAUGACAUUCCUUUUGUUUGGCGUAUUGUUAAACUUCAACUGUUAUAUUCAUAUCAUAUUCAAAGAGUCCAAAGUUAUCUUAAAACAGACUUCCAGCCUAGAACGAAUCUGUGAGAAUGGUUUUUGAGAAAAUAUGUUUUGAUUCUACUAUAUCUGGCAAAUGUUUAUUGAUGAUGCAAGAUUUUUGAGAGAAGAUAUUUUUGUUUAUUACAAUAAUCUUUUUUGUGGACUAAACUGAGUGCCAUAUUUGGACUUACAAAACAUGUUACCUGAACUAUUAAAAGACAUGCCUCCAUACAAAAGAUUCAGUGUGAUUUAUUCCGGAUGGCGGUCCUGCCAGGUCUCUUGAUCUAAACGCACUUGAGUUUUUUGUUUGGGAUUACCUACACCUUUGAUAUACAAAACACCUGUGGAAAAUAUUUAAAUGUUUAGGUGAAGAAUAGUGAAUGGCUGUAAUACGAUUAUACAGAAAUCGGGUAUUUGCACGAAUAAGAAAUUCUAUGAGAAAUUAACUUGAACACUGUAUGGACAUGAAUGUCAGACACAUUGAGCACAUGUUGUAGGAUCGCCAAUAUUUUUUAAUCUAACUAAAUAUUACAGCCAUUAGUUACACAAGAAAGAGCACUUGGCCACUCUUAUCACACAUAAACUGUUCCUACUGAACCUUUUUUUUAAAUAGAUUUUAUUUUUUCAAAUUUUAAACUGUUUAUGAAUAACAAAGAAGUUUAUAUUUGAAAAAAAAUUCUUAGUUAGUAGUUGUCCUAUCUUAAAAAUCUUUAUGCCAUAAUUAGGAUUAAAUUCUUCAACAUUGUUGUCUCUUUUAAUAAAAUUUAAGGUUUUUUAAAUUUUAGCUAUAAACAUUUUAAAUGACCGCUAUUUUAAAAAGAAAUUUUCUAAAAAAAUGAAACCUUUAAGAAAUGUGCAAAAUAUCAAGACCAACAUUCAUACCAAGUAUUUGAUUUUAUCUUAAGUAACUUCUGAGAUAUUACACUUUUUGUAAAAAUCACACACAGACAGAUGGACGGAAAACGGAGCGAGAUAGACCACCCAUGUGUUCACAUCUGAUAUUUUUGUUUGUUUUGACCUUUGGAAUAACCUCCUGAAGUUUGGUUACAUACCCUGUAUUCAUGAGAAGUGGUGGUGUUUGAGUCUCUACACAUUAGCCAUCCAUCUAUUCCAUAAGUUAUGUAAUAUAACUUUGGUAACUGGACUAAUAUAUUACUACCCGAGCAGGGAUCUAUCAGCUAUUGCAGAGGUUGAAAUAUUAAAACGGUCCUUCAAUGUUAAUAUAGCAAUAACAUAUUAGGAUCGAUUUGGAAUAUUACUGAGACAUACUUUGAGUUGAUGCUCGCAUUACAAGACACGUAUCAUUGAUGAUAUCAGAAUUUGCUAGAGACAAUUCAUACCGCGGAUUGCAGGCUCAUGAAUGCCUAAGUUCGAAGAUAACUCGUUGGUUUUAUCCACGGAAUUGAAAAUGGGUUUUUGUCAAGAUCCUUUCUUAUAUUGUUUUUAUGAAGCUUCAUUUUUGACCGUUGCCACUACGGUUGAGUAAAAGACCAAGUCCUUUCCGUAUAAACAUUGUAUUGAAUUUAGGGUCGUUGUGAAAACGGCACAUCUUUUGAGAUGUUCAACUACAUUGGCAGAAAGGAACGUUGUUGUUACGAUAUCUGUUGGACAAUCGACUUUUUCAUUUAAUUAAGUGGGUUAUAACAACGACCUUCGAAGAAAAGCUUAAAUACAGAGCUGGAAUUGUUGUCACAACGAUUCAUAGAGUAAACCUGUAUUAUUAGUUAUUUUCUCAAAAACUAUCGUUGAGCCAACGAUUAGUAAUGCAAAAGAUAUGGCACACAGUGCCGUCCUUAGGGUGGAACGAGUGGAGCGGCGGCCACGCAGUGAGGCUUUGCUCUAGUCAAAAAUGAAUAAAAUUUUCUAAAUAAGUAAAAGUGUUGGUUGUAUUAAAAUAAUAUAUUAGUAAUAUACAUGCCUAAAAUAUCUAUCUGAUUAGUGUCAACUUCACAAAGGCUAUCGUGAUUGCCUUUACAAGAGAGCGUCAGUUGGAGGGUGUUGGUCCUUUCUUAUUGAGAGGCUUUUCCAUUGAGUUACAGUCCCAGGUUAAGUACUUGGGCGUAAUCCUUGAUAGGGUCCUUAACUGGGGACCCCAUUUGGAAAGAGUUAUUGCCAGAGGGAAAUGAUCUUUAAUGCAAUGCUGACAUGUGCUAGGUGGGUCUUGGAGACAAGCAGAGGCUUUUGUAUUGGCGGCUUUAUGUCUCCGUGAUUAGACUUGCACUAAUGUUUGGGGCUGUUGUCUGGUGGUCAAAGACGGAGGCCAAGAUGAUGGUGACUGGUAUGGCCAGCAUCCAAAGUAUGGCUUGCCUUGCUAUCACUGGGGCUUUCCCAAGUCUGGGGUGCAGCUCUAGACUGUUGCCUAAACCUUGCCCGCCUGGAAAUUCUAAUUCGAGCUAUGGCCAUGAGAAGUGGCUUUUGUCUUCCGCAGGCGGGGCUUUGGUCGGCCUCGGGCUGCAGCAGUGGGCACUGCUGAAUUAGCAUCUCUGCAUGUAAUCUUUGAUCAGAUGCCACAAAGAGUUUCUUUCAACAAACCCUUCAGGAUUGUUAUACCUUCUAGGGAAGCUUGGUCGGAGGGAAGGAAACCCCUUCCACCAGCGGAGCUUGAUUGGUUUACAGACGGCUCUAAAAUGGAAAGUGGCACAGGCACCAGAAUUAUGGUGGUGAGACCAUGUAAGGAGCUGGUGGUCCCUGUAGGUCCUUACCCCACAGCUUUUCAGGCAGAAGUCACAGCCAUUAUGGAGUGUGCUCGUGAGAAUAUUCGUUGGUGGUAAAUGAGUAAGACGAUUUGCAUUUUCACAUAUAGCCAGGCAACAUUGAAGACCCUGGACUAUUUCGUGUUCAACUCCAAACUUGUCUGGGAUUGCUAUCAAGUCGGUUCUUCCCAUGUCAGGAUCAAUAAUAUGACUGUUGGGCUUCUGGUGAUGAGGGGAUCUCUGGGAACGAAAGAGCUGAUGCACUGGCCAAUUUGGACUUGGUGUCCAUUAUGAUGGGACCUCAACCGUUCUGUGGCAUUUCUAGGUGUGAAUCCUUUGGGGCUGUCUCAAAUAGGGGGUGAACCCAUAAGAGAAGGUGGAGGUUGCAUCCGGUUCUGAGAAUGAGCAAAAUGGUUCUAAAGACACCUUCCCCUAAGAUGACCUCUCAAUAAGUAGAUUGGUGUUUUCUUGGGUUAGGGGUCUCUUGGGACAUGGUCACCCGAGGAAGCAUCUUCACAGAUUUGGUAUCCUUCGGGAGGAUCCACUCUAUAGAAUGUGUGAUGAGCAGGAGGAAAACCUACUUUGACUAUCCUGCAUAGCAAGGGAGCGGUACGCCAUCUUUGGUAGUCUAGACAAAGGUAGCGAAUUUAUCUAGGUCCUAAUCGGUUGUUUUUUGGCAGUUUGUAGAACUGCUGAAACCGUAAACUCAUCAGCCUCAUGGUGUACUCCUAGGGUGUGCAAAAGGCGCUUAUGGCUUAGGUGCAUGGUAAUAGGCCACCCCAUAGAAGAAGAAGCUCUAGUAAACCAGCUUAAGGAAAUCAAUAUUGAAGUACAAAUAUUAAUGUUACUUCACAACAUUAACAUCAACGUCAACAUAAAGUUGACUCUUAAGAGCAAAGAGCAUAUUUGGAAAAAGUUAUGAUUUUUUUAUCUUCUCUGUACGGAUGCUGUUAGAUUCUCCAUAUUUCCAUGUGAUUAAUUCCAGAGUGACCUGCUUUUUCUUCUGGAAUAAUUUCUUGUGGGUUUUCGUAAAAUUCUGGAUUAGAGUUCCUAAAAACUCCUUAUUUAAAAAUUGCAUUAUGUUGUGUUUGUUGGUUAUUAAUUAAAAAUCAUACUAUGUAGUCUAUUGAAUGAAACUACUGUGUAUCUUAUUAGUUUUAUGUUCGAAUUCUACAAAAUAAAUUAUUCAUGACUGUAUUUUUUUUAGAUUUCAUUCCCAAUACUUCACGAGGCGUAAAAAAAAUACCAAUUACAAACAUUAUAACGUUUUGCAGUAAAAAUAGGAUAUGAACACAACAACAAAACAUCAAUAUAAAAAUACAUAAUAAAUUUAAAAAAUUCAGAUCUACAUGCAAUCAGUCCAUACCUAUAUAUGAAAUACCAAAUAAUAUGGGCAUCUUUUUAUAUCCAUACUGGUAAAACCUCUGGAUAGUUUACAUGUAUACAUAAUAUUUGACUAAUUUUUAAAGAGAAUUUUUUGACAAAUGAGUUUUAAAUCUCUAUAUACGAUUUAUAACGCAAUAAGCAUUUAAUUAAAUAAAUUCUUGCACAGAGAAAGAAAUAAUUGCAUAAAUCUUAUUUACUAAGAUAAUGCAAUGGAAUGAUAUUUUUUCAAAUAGUGUCUUUAAACUGAGAAGCUGACAUGAUACGAUCACAGUAGGUAGAAGACAAAGAGUUGAGAGAGAAAGUUACUCCUUGACAUGAAUAUACAAGACAAUUACUGCAAUAGAAAAAGUGCUAUAAGUCCUUGCAUACAAAAUAUAUACAUGUAUCUUGUAUAAAUGUAUAUCCUAUAUAUGAAGGGGUAAAGAAUAAAGAGAAAUAACAAGUAACUAAAGAAAUUUUAUUAAUUUAAUUUGGCACCCAAAAUGAUCAAAUACCAUUAUAAUAAAAAAUACAAACUUUAAACAAAUAACAUUAUUUAUAAGCAUACAAUAAAUUUU
This is a long non-coding RNA of Homalodisca vitripennis (glassy-winged sharpshooter), 6160 nucleotides long. RefSeq lists it as uncharacterized. NCBI's taxonomy places the organism in Eukaryota, Metazoa, Arthropoda, Insecta, Hemiptera, Cicadellidae. The record is from RefSeq and is a predicted model, not a curated record. The transcript has 2 exons.